Molecule: transfer RNA, 75 nt
Filed under: Candidatus Acetothermia bacterium
Lineage: Bacteria; Candidatus Bipolaricaulota
Description: tRNA-Asn
Rfam family: tRNA
About the family: Transfer RNA (tRNA) molecules are approximately 80 nucleotides in length. Their secondary structure includes four short double-helical elements and three loops (D, anti-codon, and T loops). Further hydrogen bonds mediate the characteristic L-shaped molecular structure. tRNAs have two regions of fundamental functional importance: the anti-codon, which is responsible for specific mRNA codon recognition, and the 3' end, to which the tRNAs corresponding amino acid is attached (by aminoacyl-tRNA synthetases). tRNAs cope with the degeneracy of the genetic code in two manners: having more than one tRNA (with a specific anti-codon) for a particular amino acid; and 'wobble' base-pairing, i.e. permitting non-standard base-pairing at the 3rd anti-codon position.
Source: RNAcentral
UCCUGGGUAGCUCAAUGGCAGAGCAUCCGGCUGUUAACCGGAGGGUUGGUGGUUCGAGUCCACCCCCAGGAGCCA